CAGAGUUGCAAAACUCCCAUAACCCUUUGUGAACCUACCUUCUAGUUGCUUCGGCAGGCGGUCCUCUGGACCCCUCGGCCCUUUGCUGGGCGCCUGCCGGAGGUAUACCAAACUCUUGUUAUUUUAGAGGAAUUCUGAGUAUCAAAACAAAAAGUUA
RNAcentral lists this unclassified non-coding RNA (157 nucleotides) under uncultured Sordariales. RNAcentral's name for it is "sequence contains ITS1". The record is from RNAcentral. Lineage: Eukaryota; Fungi; Ascomycota; Sordariomycetes; Sordariales.